UGGGGAAUUUUGGACAAUGGGCGCAAGCCUGAUCCAGCAAUGCCGCGUGCAGGAUGAAGGCCUUCGGGUUGUAAACCGCUUUUGUCAGGGAAGAAACGAGUUUCUCUAAUACAGAGACUUAAUGACGGUACCUGAAGAAUAAGCACCGGCUAACUACGUGCCAGCAGCCGCGGUAAUACGUAGGGUGCGAGCGUUAAUCGGAAUUACUGGGCGUAAAGCGUGCGCAGGCGGUUAUAUAAGACAGAUGUGAAAUCCCCGGGCUCAACGCGGGACCUGCAUUUGUGACUGUAUAGCUGGGGUACGGUAGAGGGGGAUGGAAUUCCGCGUGUAGCAGUGAAUUGCGUAGAUAUGCGGAGGAACACCGAUGGCGAAGGCAAUCCCCUGGACCUGUACUGACGCUCAUGCACGAAAGCGUGGGGAGCAAAC
This 426-nucleotide ribosomal RNA is filed under the name uncultured bacterium. RNAcentral's name for it is "bacterial SSU rRNA". It matches the Rfam family "Bacterial small subunit ribosomal RNA", at positions 355 to 773 of the family's 1533-position model. The record is from RNAcentral.